Molecule: non-coding RNA, 296 nt
Filed under: Bacillus sp. (in: firmicutes)
Lineage: Bacteria; Bacillati; Bacillota; Bacilli; Caryophanales; Bacillaceae
Description: Bacillus sp. T-box sequence
Rfam family: T-box leader
About the family: Uncharged tRNA acts as the effector for transcription antitermination of genes in the T-box leader family. T-boxes are found upstream of many aminoacyl-tRNA synthetase genes and some amino acid biosynthetic genes usually in Gram-positive bacteria.
Source: RNAcentral
AUCAAUGCUUUGAAGGGCAUCAGUAGACAGCGAACCGCAUUUUGCAGAGAACCGGUGGGUGGUGGAAACCGGUAUGCGCCGCUUGUUGAAUUACCGCCUGGAGCUAAGUGAAGGAACCGUAUGCUAAGAUCGGCUUUAGCCCAAGAAAGGGCGCCUGUCUUAAGCCGUAGUAGUUCACUUCGGAGCCCGUCUCCGUUAUCAACAACGAAGUGAGAGUGUCGUACAGCCCAUUUGCUUGAUAGGCUGGCGUACUCUAACGAGGGUGGUACCGCGAGCUAAUCCUUCUCGUCCCUUGG